AGAGCGAACGCUGGCGGCGUGCUUAACACAUGCAAGUCGAGUGCGCGCCUGUAGCAAUACAGGUGGCGCACGGCGCACGGGUGCGUAACACGUGGGCAAUCUGCCCUCGGAUGGGGGAUAACUCGUCGAAAGGCGAGCUAAUACCGCAUGACAUUCCUGGGACUCCGGUCCCGGGACUCAAAGGCCGCAAGGCCGUCUGAGGAGGAGCCCGCGCCCCGAUUAGCUAGUUGGUGAGGUAACGGCUCACCAAGGCUUUGAUCGGUA
RNAcentral lists this ribosomal RNA (264 nucleotides) under uncultured bacterium. Its description in RNAcentral is "partial small subunit ribosomal RNA". It matches the Rfam family "Bacterial small subunit ribosomal RNA", at positions 26 to 285 of the family's 1533-position model. The record is from RNAcentral.